Molecule: ribosomal RNA, 253 nt
Filed under: uncultured bacterium
Lineage: Bacteria
Description: partial 16S ribosomal RNA
Rfam family: Bacterial small subunit ribosomal RNA
Source: RNAcentral
UACAGAGGCCCCAAGCGUUACUGAGAAUCACUGGGUUUAAAGGGUGCGUAGGUGGCGCGUUAAGUCCGUUGUGAAAGCCCGGGGCUCAACCCCGGGUCUGCCAUGCCGACUGUCAGGCUGGAGUACUGUAGGGGCAGGCGGAAUUCCGGGUGUAGCGGUGGAAUGCGUAGAGAUCCGGAGGAAGACCGGUGGCGAAGGCGGCCUGCUGGGCAGUUACUGACACUGAUGCGCGACAGCGUGGGGAGCAAACAGG